UCUUAUAUAGUUUAAUUAAAACAAUACAUUUUCAUUGUAUAAUUAAUAUUUUUAUUUAUAAGUU
This 64-nucleotide transfer RNA is filed under the name Ornebius fuscicerci. RNAcentral's name for it is "tRNA-Glu". Lineage: Eukaryota; Metazoa; Arthropoda; Insecta; Orthoptera; Mogoplistidae. The record is from RNAcentral.